Non-coding RNA from Lupinus albus (white lupine), 307 nucleotides. Lineage: Eukaryota; Viridiplantae; Streptophyta; Magnoliopsida; Fabales; Fabaceae. The record is from the annotation of a GenBank genome assembly.
GCCGAGCUGAGUAGCGUUAGCUUGUGACCCAAGUGGGGGCAAUAACUUGAUGGGACAAGUACAUGGUUUCGCUUGGCUGGGCUUGUGUUGGCUUUACGUGGCCUGCCUACUCCAAGUUUAGAGUUGAAUUAUGGGUCUUGGGCUUAAGCUCUGGUCUCAUGGUUCCUAGACUGGAGGGCAAUGCGUGAGGCUGGUUUCACAGAGCAGCGAAUACCUCCGGCUCUUAACAGUGGAGGGAUAACGGGCCACUGCUUCUCAAGCCCGCAAUGGGCCUGGUGAUCCUGUUGUUUGAACCAUCAUUUUUUUU